UACGUAGGUGGCAAGCGUUGUCCGGAUUUACUGGGCGUAAGGAGCGCGCAGGCGGUCGAGUAAGUCGCGUGUGAAAGCCCCCGGCUCAACUGGGGAGGGUCACGCGAUACUGUUCGACUCGAAGGCAGGAGAGGGUAGUGGAAUUCCCGGUGUAUUGGUGAAAUGCGUAGAUAUCGGGAGGAACACCAGUGGCGAAGGCGACUACCUGGCCUGUUCUUGACGCUGAGGCGCGAAAGCUAGGGGAGCAAACGGG
RNAcentral lists this ribosomal RNA (253 nucleotides) under uncultured bacterium. RNAcentral describes it as "partial 16S ribosomal RNA". It matches the Rfam family "Bacterial small subunit ribosomal RNA", at positions 524 to 776 of the family's 1533-position model. The record is from RNAcentral.